GUCGCCGUAGUCUAGGCGGUUAGGAUACGUGGCUUUCAAUAAUUGUAUAGGCCCCACGCGACCCGGGUUCGAGUCCCGGCGGCGACA
Gonium pectorale is the source of this 87-nucleotide transfer RNA. It matches the Rfam family "tRNA". Rfam says of the family: Transfer RNA (tRNA) molecules are approximately 80 nucleotides in length. The record is from Rfam. Lineage: Eukaryota; Viridiplantae; Chlorophyta; Chlorophyceae; Chlamydomonadales; Volvocaceae.